CGAUUGGACUGUAAAAGGUUCUCAGGAGAAGAACACAGUUUAUAGGUAUAAUCUGUUGGAGGAGACAUGGCCUCCAAAAUGAGUGUGUCUGGGGAGCAAGACACAGAGAAAGGCGAGAGGUCACAUUGGUUCAUCUGAGGGCCUACUUCCAGAAAAAGAACACAUACAGGUCAUCGCCAGUGCUUCUGCCUUCUGUACUUCAAAUAUGACAAAUCUACUGCCCAGGUUCUUAAAAUGCUCCAGUUGAUUGCAUGUUCUGCUUGCCCCUGCCUGCUACUCUGUCAGCUGACAGUACUGUUGCUCCUGUUCAGGCAGAUGAUGACAAAUCAGAGUAUGUUGCCCUCCUCUCUACUGCUUAUUAGACCUUGUCAGCUAUUUCACCCAUUUCUCUCUUCCAUUCUCUGAUCUCCAUUGUUAACAAAUCCCACCACGGGUUGAUAAG
Ictalurus punctatus (channel catfish) is the source of this 442-nucleotide long non-coding RNA. NCBI's taxonomy places the organism in Eukaryota, Metazoa, Chordata, Actinopteri, Siluriformes, Ictaluridae. The record is from Ensembl.